UACGGAGGGUGCAAGCGUUAUCCGGAAUUACUGGGUUUAAAGGGUACGUAGGCGGUUAGUUAAGUCAAUAGUGAAAGCCCGUUGCUCAACAACGGAUGUGCUGUUGAUACUGGCUGACUUGAAACAAGUUAGAGUCGGCGGAAUGGGUCAUGUAGCGGUGAAAUGCUUAGAUAUGACUUGGAACACCGAAAGCGAAGGCAGCUGACUGAGCUUAGUUUGACGCUGAGGUACGAAAGUGUGGGUAGCGAAC
RNAcentral lists this ribosomal RNA (250 nucleotides) under uncultured bacterium. RNAcentral's name for it is "partial 16S ribosomal RNA". It matches the Rfam family "Bacterial small subunit ribosomal RNA", at positions 524 to 773 of the family's 1533-position model. The record is from RNAcentral.